UCAUUAAAAAUCCGUAUAUUAAUGAAAACUUUGAUUUUUUCUUUUUCUCGAAAAGGCUUGGUGGACUCUUUCUUUGUCUAAUUGCCUUCCCAAAAGACCAACAAAACCUCCACACACACACAAACACAACAAACACGAUGAUAAGAAAGCAGCCGCAUGCUCAAAACGAAAGCCAUAAACAUAAAAGCCUCUCUCUCUCUCUCUCUCUCUCUCUCUCUCUCUCUCUCACAAACAUCAAGUCAUCAAGACUUUCCUUAUUUGGUUGUUCAGGGGAUGAAAGGUCGCCGUUUCUGCACUGUGGAGUUGCUCAGGAAACGUCAGGUCUCUCUCUGGCAACGUGUCACCGACAACUGUACGUCUUCUGCUGCAUGAUGCAGAGAGAGAAAAGAGGUGGAGAAGGAGAUAAGAUCAUAAGUAGCAGUGAAUGAAGAGAGAGGGAGGGAGAGAGAGAGAGAGACACAGAGAGAGGGAAGAGAAGGGUACACAGCUUUUUGGUAUUGGGUUUUGUGGAGGUUGUUUCUCUUUUUUAUUUCUUUUCUUUCUUGGCCUGCAGAGCAAACCCUAAAUCCUCAUUGGCGUCUUACCCAUUGAUUUUUCUUACACCAAAACAGCAGGAACCGUAGAUUUUUGCGGCUUUUGGUAGGUUUCCUUAUAUGGGUUUCUUUCUGUGUUCUCAGAUCUGACUCACAUAACAUCGAUCAUUCUCUUUCUCUCGGGUUACCUUUUUCUAGUUUUGCUUUCCUCCCAGUUUCCACUCCCUUCGUUUCUUUGUUAUUAAUCAAACUUUGCGAUUUGUGACUUUAAUUUAUUGUGCCGUUGGUUGUGAAUUUGGUUGGAACAGAGAUGGAAAUUGACAGAAGAGAGUGAGCACACAGAGGCACUUGGCAUAAAGCGUAUGCUAUUGCUUUUGCGUGCUCAUGUCUCUUUCUGUCAGCUUCCCAGUUCCACUGCCGGAUUAUUUUAAUUUCUUAUUUACUUCUCAUCCAUCUCUGGCCUGUGUUUCUUCCACUACUUGUAUUCUCUCUCUCUCUCUCUCUCUCUCUCUCUCUCUCUCUCUCUCUCUCCAAAUCUUUAAUCUUAAAGCCUUUGUGGGGCUUCAAAGCAACGCUUAAUUUGCUACUUUGAAAUCGGUAAGUGAUGAUUAUAUUAUAUAUAAAAAUUGUUUGACAAUAUCGAAGCAUCAACUAAUACCUUGAAAGCGUGACUUUUGAUGGUGUUUUUCACGAAGCUACACAUAUAUUUGACAUUUACUGUGCGAAAUUAGCGGCAAAAACCUGGUAAUCAAGCAUAGAAUUAGCAUGGGAAUGGGAAUUUUGAAUGGGACCAUUCACGUUAUCUAUCUAGCUUAGUAUGGUCCUCCUAUUCUUCAUCGUCUUUCUAAUUCUCUAUUUGAUCUCCAUUUUUAAUUCCUGCGCAUGCGAUGUUCUUGACCCAAGAAUUGCUUCUGCUUGGACUUAAUUUGUUUUUUCUUCUUCUUCACCUGAAUCUAGUGCUUGUACUGUGCACCUACCAAGCUAGUUCGAAUGGAUAUAUACAUAUAUAUAUAUAUAUAUAUGUAUAUAUGUUUUCUUUAUGGGUUUUUAUACAACCCUAUUUAGCUGCUCGAAUAGGGUUGCUUUUGCUUGUUUGUACAAUUUGAUUACAAAUGGUUUUUCCAAUCACUAGUCUUUGAUCUGGAUUUUUAUCGAACCCGGUACUUAAUUUCACACCCACUGCACAUUGGGUGUUUAUAUAUUUCUCGAAAUAUUGUGAUUUAAUGUGAUGAUUUAAGGGGUUAGAAUUUGCUUUUGUUAUCUGUGACUGGUUUGUCUAGUUGAUUUUGCAGGAACGCUUAAGGAUUCAUUUUCGAACCGUCAACACAUUAUCAAGUUGAAGUUGGUUUCAUAUGUAAGACAGACUGAUUAAUUUCGAGAUGAAAGAGGCUUUUGGCAAACCAAUAAUACUGAGAAAGACUGGAUAUUAUCGCCGUGCUGUCGAUGCUUGAUCAUCAAUAAUAAUCACCUUGUGCUGUUGGACGUUAACCUUGGAGCUAGCUCUCGUCCGUAGCAGCGGAUGAAGUCAAAACAAUAUCUUUAUAAACAGUUCGUCUAUAAAUCAGUAGCUGUAAUGUAAAAGCACAGUUUGUUUUUUAUAUCUAUUUUGAUUUUGAUUUGUGAAGAAAUUCGAUUUUGGAGGUGGUUUUUCUUUCUGUUUUAGAAGCAAGGAAACAGUAAUAUGCAGAAAGUUGGCCUUCAUUGAAUAUGUAGUGAUUUCUUCUUCUCUUUUUA
Prunus persica (peach) is the source of this 2267-nucleotide long non-coding RNA. RefSeq lists it as uncharacterized. The record is from RefSeq and is a predicted model, not a curated record. The transcript has 3 exons. Lineage: Eukaryota; Viridiplantae; Streptophyta; Magnoliopsida; Rosales; Rosaceae.